CAUAUAUCCGACCUGACCCUCUACUGUUCUUCUUCCUCCUAGCGGAAAAUCGCGAACGACAACCUAGCAUCCCGUACCCGGCUCUGCGUCCCUCCCGUCUUGUCCUUUUUCUCUCAUACUCAAAUCGUGUGGUGUCUCGAUCUCAGCAUCUUACUCGUCCUUGCUCUCCAAAUCGACGGCCUCCAUUGUUGAUGAAAUUGGUACUAUUCAAGCUUUCAACCUUAUCUUCAAAGGAUUUUUAAUUUCAAAUUUUAAAUCCUUGUCCUUAUCUAUGCGAUUUCCCCCUCUCUUUUUUUUUUAAUUCUAGUUAUUCCCCUAUUUAUAGAACCCUCGUCUUAUUUGUUUGGUUAGACAAAAAAGUUGGAAAAACUAAUGUUAGAAACAAUGGAAAAGAACCAAACAAAUAAAUGCUAUUAAUUUUUAAGAGUUUCGUUUGGGUUAUUCAAGUCUUUCUUUGAAGCCUUUGAGUGUGUGAGGUGUUGGAAGAAGCUCAACGUCUCCUCUUCUUGUUAUUGUCCAGUUCGCUGCUCGAAAAAAGGUGCAGACACUGGUGGACGCUAGAGUUUGCAAGUUGACGUGCAGUUAUCAGGACGUGACGCUUUCAUCAGAACUUGGUUGGUCCUUAUGCUUUCGAGGAUGUCUACCUUGAUUAUCUAGCUUAGAUAUAGUCCACUAGUGUUCCUUUCAACUUUUAUUACAUACUUUGUAUUGGUGUCGUUUUGGCAAAAAAACUUUUAAUGCAAUUAUGAACUGUUUCUUUCA
Molecule: long non-coding RNA, 762 nt
Organism: Solanum lycopersicum (tomato)
Lineage: Eukaryota; Viridiplantae; Streptophyta; Magnoliopsida; Solanales; Solanaceae
Source: RefSeq, a predicted model, not a curated record